RNAcentral lists this ribosomal RNA (385 nucleotides) under uncultured bacterium. Its description in RNAcentral is "bacterial SSU rRNA". It matches the Rfam family "Archaeal small subunit ribosomal RNA", at positions 339 to 726 of the family's 1478-position model. The record is from RNAcentral.
GCGCGAAACCUCUGCAAUGCGGGAAACCGUGACAGGGGGAUCCCAAGUGCUCAUGCAUUGCAUGGGCUGUUCUUUGGUCUAAGUAACCAGAGGAGUAAGGGCUGGGCAAGACCGGUGCCAGCCGCCGCGGUAAUACCGGCAGCUCAAGUGGUAGCCGCGAUUAUUGGGCCUAAAACGUUCGUAGCCGGAUAAGUAAGUCUUUGGUUAAACCCUGCGACUUAACCGUGGGAAAUCUAGAGAUACUGCUUGUCUUGAGACCGGGAGAGGGUGGAGGUACUCCCAGGGUAGGGGUGCAAUCCUGUAAUCGUGGGGGGACCACAUGUGGCGAAGGCGUCCAACUGGAACGGGUCUGACGGUGAGGGACGAAACCUAGGGGAGCGAGCCG